This 429-nucleotide ribosomal RNA is filed under the name Gemmatimonadota bacterium. RNAcentral's name for it is "Gemmatimonadetes bacterium partial 16S ribosomal RNA". It matches the Rfam family "Bacterial small subunit ribosomal RNA", at positions 355 to 776 of the family's 1533-position model. Lineage: Bacteria; Pseudomonadati; Gemmatimonadota. The record is from RNAcentral.
UAGGGAAUCUUCGGCAAUGGACGAAAGUCUGACCGAGCAACGCCGCGUGAGUGAAGAAGGUUUUCGGAUCGUAAAACUCUGUUGUUAGAGAAGAACAAGGACGUUAGUAACUGAACGUCCCCUGACGGUAUCUAACCAGAAAGCCACGGCUAACUACGUGCCAGCAGCCGCGGUAAUACGUAGGUGGCAAGCGUUGUCCGGAUUUAUUGGGCGUAAAGCGAGCGCAGGCGGUUUCUUAAGUCUGAUGUGAAAGCCCCCGGCUCAACCGGGGAGGGUCAUUGAAAACUGGGAGACUUGAGUGCAGAAGAGGAGAGUGGAAUUCCAUGUGUAGCGGUGAAAUGCGUAGAUAUAUGGAGAAACACCAGUGGCGAAGGCGGCUCUCUGGUCUGUAACUGACGCUGAGGCUCGAAAGCGUGGGGAGCAAACAGG